AUGGCAAAGGCCAACAAGAAGUUGAAGGUGACAAAAACCACUGAAAACUGUUCUGAGCCGGAGAAGCAGUCAACAGAGACCUCCCUCCAUGCCACUGAGGCCACAGCUGAUGAGCCGCUACUAGAAAAACACACCAUCACCAUAGAUCAUAUGGAUGUUGACACAACCACCACCAAGUCGCCAAGUCCCAUAAAGCCUACUGAAGAAAAGGUUGAUGAUGUUACCAUUACUGGGCUUGGUUAUACAGCGCCGGACAAUCCCACUCUUAUCAAAGCACAAUGCCAAGGAAGAAAUAUCUGUUGCUGA
This 306-nucleotide ribosomal RNA is filed under the name Triticum aestivum (bread wheat). RNAcentral describes it as "partial small subunit ribosomal RNA". Lineage: Eukaryota; Viridiplantae; Streptophyta; Magnoliopsida; Poales; Poaceae. The record is from RNAcentral.